AGAGGGUGCAAGCGUUAAUCGGAUUGACUGGGCGUAAAGGGCUUGUAGGCGGUUAUGUAAGUUAGAUGUGAAAUCUUCGGGCUCAACCUGGAAACUGCAUCUAAAACUGCAUAACUAGAGAGCAGUAGAGGGGAGUGGAAUUUCCGGUGUAGCGGUGAAAUGCGUAGAUAUCGGAAGGAACACCAGUGGCGAAGGCGACUCCCUGGGCUGUUUCUGACGCUGAGGAGCGAAAGCGUGGGUAGCGAACAGGGAUUAGAUACCCUGGUAGUCCACGCUGUAAACGAUGAGAACUAGCUGUUUUGAUGUAUUAUAUGUCAGAGUAGCGUAGCUAACGCGAUAAGUUCUCCGCCUGGGAUUACGGUCGCAAGACUA
This 372-nucleotide ribosomal RNA is filed under the name uncultured organism. RNAcentral describes it as "partial 16S ribosomal RNA". It matches the Rfam family "Bacterial small subunit ribosomal RNA", at positions 527 to 896 of the family's 1533-position model. The record is from RNAcentral.